Molecule: ribosomal RNA, 101 nt
Filed under: uncultured bacterium
Lineage: Bacteria
Description: partial 16S ribosomal RNA
Source: RNAcentral
CCUUCGGGUUGUAAAGCUCUUUCGGCGGGGACAAAAAGGCGACUGCGAAUAACGGUCGUUCAUGAUGGUACCCGAAGAAGAAGCACCGGCUAACUACGUGC